This 199-nucleotide long non-coding RNA is filed under the name Nicotiana benthamiana. RNAcentral's name for it is "long non-coding RNA (NBEN_LNC034112)". Lineage: Eukaryota; Viridiplantae; Streptophyta; Magnoliopsida; Solanales; Solanaceae. The record is from RNAcentral.
CCAUACCUUUCCACUAGCCAUUCCUAUAGUUAUUACAAAUUAUUACAACCCAAAAUGAACCAGAAAAGUAAAAAAAAUAAAAAUAAAAUUACAUCAAAAAUUCAAGCUACACCCAAACAGCCUAAUUUAGACUUAAAGUCUAACAAUACGAGAUAAACCAACUUCUGAGAUCAGAUUUCCAAAAGCCUUUUUCUUAUUU